Molecule: ribosomal RNA, 467 nt
Filed under: uncultured bacterium
Lineage: Bacteria
Description: partial 16S ribosomal RNA
Rfam family: Bacterial small subunit ribosomal RNA
Source: RNAcentral
GAUGAACGCUGGCGGCGUGCUUAACACAUGCAAGUCGAACGGAGAGGCCCAGGCUUGCGUGGUUACUCGAGUGGCGAACGUGUGUGUAACACGAGUGUGAUGUGCCCUACACUUCGGUAUACGCGUGAGAAACGGGGUCUUAUACCAUAUAGCACCACGCCGUGUGGUUGGGGGUGGAAAGUGUUUUCGGUGUGGGAUGGGCUCUCGGCCUAUCAGCGUGUUGGUGGGGUAAUGGCUUACCAAGGCGUCGACGGGUAGCCGGCCUGAGAGGGUGUACGGCCACACUGGGACUGAGACACGGCCCAGACUCCUACGGGAGGCAGCAGUGGGGAAUAUUGCACAAUGGGCGCAAGCCUGAUGCAGCGACGCCGCGUGGGGGAUGACGGCCUUCGGGUUGUAAACCUCUUUCGGUAGGGAAGAAGCGUUUUGUGACGGUACCUGGAGAAGAAGCACCGGCUAACUACGUG